AUGAUAGAUCUGAAGAAGGCUAAGACUAGAAUCAAGGAACUGGAGGAAGAACUCAAGGCUACACGUGAAGAUUAUGAAGAAGAAAUUGAAGUAUUGGUGGAGAAAAAUGACGACCUGAUCAAGAAGAUUGGAAUAUUUAUGGGAGGCCCUACACCAGUAGAUGAAGACGAAGAACUCCAGGAGAUUAGCCCGGAAGACUACAUCAUCAUCGACGGAACCGACUCGGAAGCAGAUAGUAGCGAUGAUGACUAUGUUGAUGAAGCUGGAGCAGAUAUCAUGGAGUCUGCAACCGAAGAAUAUUUCUAG
RNAcentral lists this ribosomal RNA (306 nucleotides) under Triticum aestivum (bread wheat). RNAcentral's name for it is "partial small subunit ribosomal RNA". The record is from RNAcentral. Lineage: Eukaryota; Viridiplantae; Streptophyta; Magnoliopsida; Poales; Poaceae.